Non-coding RNA from Oryza glumipatula, 209 nucleotides. The record is from Rfam. NCBI's taxonomy places the organism in Eukaryota, Viridiplantae, Streptophyta, Magnoliopsida, Poales, Poaceae.
UAAAAGACAAACCCUAAGUUUCUAUGUCCAACUUUGACUAUCCAUCUUAUAUGAAAUUUUUUUAUAAUUCGUAUUUUUAUUGUUGUUACUUAAAUGAUAAAACAUGAUUAAUAUUUUAUGCGUGACUUGUCUUUUUAGUUUUUUUCAUAAUUUUUUUGAAUAAGAUGGACGGUCAAACGUUGGGCACGGAAACCAGGGUUUGUCUUUUU